AAAAAAAAAAAAAAGGAAGAGAGAUGAAGAAGAAAUUUUUGGUUGAGCUUUGAUAUUAAGAGUAGAAUAUAGAGGCAAUGAUGCCUGAACUUUCACGUUGACUAUAUUGUGAAUACUUUUAUGUCUACCUAAACUCUUUCAUUCCAUGAAGUUUUAUUACUGCAUGUCUUAUCUUUAUUUUGUAGGGCCGAUUUGAAAUACUUUCUU
This 207-nucleotide unclassified non-coding RNA is filed under the name Hevea brasiliensis (rubber tree). The record is from RNAcentral. Lineage: Eukaryota; Viridiplantae; Streptophyta; Magnoliopsida; Malpighiales; Euphorbiaceae.